AAACGAAAAACUUAACAAAACAAUAACAAAAUUCACAAUCAACAAAAACUUAAAAACUGAAAACAAACACAAACCGCAUACAAGGCAGAUUCACGUCGUUCUGACGUUUGACGAUUGCGAUUUGCAAUACGAUCACAAGAUGGACGUUCCGACUCAUCGAUUUGAUUUCGAUGCAACAGUGUCAAUCUCUAUUGACAAAAGUUCCGUUCCAUGCAUCUGACAUUGGUAUGACAUAAUUUCAUCUUUGUUAAAAUUGACAUUUUUUUAAUACAUAACAGUUAAUAACAUAAAUAAUAUCUGUUCUGUUAUUAAUUAUUUAAUUAGUCUUUUGGUCAGGAGAAAAUAAUUAGUUUCGUUUGGUUCCCCUAUUGUUUUCUUGUGAGAAAAUUGCGUAGCAAGGAGUAUGAGAACUGUCACGCAUAUCGCUUUACGGAGUAUCAACAUUUAAUAACAUUACAUAUUGGCUUGUUUUGUUAUUGUUUAAGAACGACUUUAAAAAAUGUAAAAACGCUCCAAAUUAUAUUUUUAUUUGUGGUGUUAUAACACCGUGCGGUGCAAGGAAAACUACCAAUAAAUCUGUUUUAACAAUUCAUAGACAAAAGAAGAGAUACCAUGAUCUGCUCCACAACCAAACUAUUUGGUUGUUACUCGAAAAGCGUUGGCUACAGAAGUGGCUUGAUGUCAUUGGUACUGAAUAUAAUACUGUGUGCUUAUUCAUUAAACUUGAGGCUGCAUGAUGAUGCAGUACCAUUGUCCACCUUGUAUUAAGCAUAAAAAAUCCUCAUGGCAUCUCGGCCUGAAAUGAAAAUUGUCCAAGAAUAACAGGCAUGAUAACUCAACUAAGCUUACGAGUGAAACACCUGGAUGAGUUUAUAAAGAGACUGAACCCGAAACCGAUUACUUCUGUGAAAACAAUGCCAAAUAAAUAUGAAUUAUUGCUGCCUCAUCCGCCAUCUUUAUUUAAUAAGAUCCAGGAAGUAUGUGGUGCCCAGAGAAACAAGUAAAGUAUUGAAUGAGAAAAUUAGACGCCAAGUCAAAACAUCUUAAAUAUGCAAGAUGUUAUUACUAUUAUGAAGAACAAAGCUACAUGAAAAAACGGUUUGCAAGGCUUUCCUUUCUAAACCAAGUACCUAUUCUGAGAUAAUUAAAAAGUUGAACUACGC
This is a long non-coding RNA of Trichoplusia ni (cabbage looper), 1163 nucleotides long. RefSeq lists it as uncharacterized. Lineage: Eukaryota; Metazoa; Arthropoda; Insecta; Lepidoptera; Noctuidae. The record is from RefSeq and is a predicted model, not a curated record. The transcript has 6 exons.